This 467-nucleotide ribosomal RNA is filed under the name uncultured bacterium. RNAcentral's name for it is "partial 16S ribosomal RNA". It matches the Rfam family "Bacterial small subunit ribosomal RNA", at positions 28 to 507 of the family's 1533-position model. The record is from RNAcentral.
GACGAACGCUGGCGGCGUGCUUAACACAUGCAAGUCGAACGGAAAGGCCCUGCUUUUGUGGGGUGCUCGAGUGGCGAACGGGUGAGUAACACGUGAGUAACCUGCCCUUGACUUUGGGAUAACUUCAGGAAACUGGGGCUAAUACCGGAUAGGAGCUCCUGCUGCAUGGUGGGGGUUGGAAAGUUUCGGCGGUUGGGGAUGGACUCGCGGCUUAUCAGCUUGUUGGUGGGGUAGUGGCUUACCAAGGCUUGACGGGUAGCCGGCCUGAGAGGGUGACCGGCCAAAUUGGGACUGAGAUACGGCCCAGACUCCUACGGGAGGCAGCAGUGGGGAAUAUUGCACAAUGGGCGGAAGCCUGAUGCAGCAACGCCGCGUGCGGGAUGACGGCCUUCGGGUUGUAAACCGCUUUCGCCUGUGACGAAGCGUGAGUGACGGUAAUGGGUAAAGAAGCACCGGCUAACUACGUG